RNAcentral lists this long non-coding RNA (755 nucleotides) under Sparus aurata (gilthead seabream). RNAcentral's name for it is "lncRNA (ENSSAUG00010015510.1)". Lineage: Eukaryota; Metazoa; Chordata; Actinopteri; Spariformes; Sparidae. The record is from RNAcentral.
CGUUAAGUGGGAUUAACAGCCAUACGUUUAAAUAACAUAGUCUGCUGUAUAUAACUCUGAGGAAUUCAACGCAGUGUCUUAACUUUCCUUCUUUUUAUGUUGUGUUAUCAGUUGUAACAGAAACUAUAACCACCACCACCAGACUGACUUCUCUACCACCAAAGGGAACCAGCGGAUCAAAUCACAGGAAUAUGUCCAGCGGUGCUGGAGGGCUGGGCUUGGAGAAGAAUGUCUUAACCCAGAACAGCAGUGGAACGUAUUUCUCCUCAUCCUCUGUAGGUGUGAACACCGGCAGCUUAAGCUCCUCCUCAGGAGUUUACCUGGGAGGAGACUCUUCAGGAGGAGGUGAUGGAGGAGGGGGCUACUUAGACGGAGGAGGGUAUGGAAGCGGAAGUGGAGGAGGCGGCGGCGGUGGCAGCAGUUACAUGGUGAGCUCGGUGUCAAAGGUCAGGUCCAGCUCGUCAGGCGGUGCCAGGAGAUCGCAGGCCAAUGGCUCGUCAGGAGGCCUGUCGCCAGGUUUCCGGGAGAGGAAGACCUUAACCAGCCGCUCAGGAGGCUAUGAUGGUGAGAUCCUGUUAAUAAAGUCAAGUUGGCAUCAGACGGGCCAGAAACAGAAGCUUGAAGAGAGAAGGAAGCCGCCGUGCAUGAGGGUGCUGUUAACAUUUCUGCUGCUAUUGUGUUCUCUUGUAGGCAGUUCCAGCGGCAAUUCCUCUCCAGAGUUUACGCGCAAAGAUUAUGGGAUCUAUUGUGAGUGA